This 274-nucleotide ribosomal RNA is filed under the name uncultured bacterium. Its description in RNAcentral is "partial 16S ribosomal RNA". It matches the Rfam family "Bacterial small subunit ribosomal RNA", at positions 523 to 796 of the family's 1533-position model. The record is from RNAcentral.
AUACGGAGGGUGCAAGCGUUACUCGGAAUCACUGGGCGUAAAGCGCGCGCAGGCGGUCUUUUAAGUUGGAUGUGAAAGCCUACGGCUCAACCGUAGAACUGCAUCCAAAACUAUUAGACUAGAGUGUGGGAGAGGAAGAUGGAAUUAGUUGUGUAGGGGUAAAAUCCGUAGAGAUAACUAGGAAUACCAAAAGCGAAGGCAAUCUUCUGGAACAGUACUGACGCUGAGGCGCGAAAGCGUGGGGAGCAAACAGGAUUAGAAACCCGGGUAGUCC